CAACUUUCAACAACGGAUCUCUUGGUUCUGGCAUCGAUGAAGAACGCAGACGAAAUGCGAUAAGUAGUGUGAAUUGCAGAAUUCAAUGAAUCAUCGAAUCUUUGAACGCACAUUGCGCCCUUUGGUAUUCCAAAGGGCAUGCCUGUUCGAGCGUCAUUU
This 159-nucleotide ribosomal RNA is filed under the name Alternaria sp. RNAcentral's name for it is "5.8S ribosomal RNA". It matches the Rfam family "5.8S ribosomal RNA". From Rfam's summary of the family: 5.8S ribosomal RNA (5.8S rRNA) is a component of the large subunit of the eukaryotic ribosome. It is transcribed by RNA polymerase I as part of the 45S precursor that also contains 18S and 28S rRNA. Lineage: Eukaryota; Fungi; Ascomycota; Dothideomycetes; Pleosporales; Pleosporaceae. The record is from RNAcentral.